AACGAACGCUGGCGGCAUGCCUAACACAUGCAAGUCGAACGAGACCUUCGGGUCUAGUGGCGCACGGGUGCGUAACGCGUGAGAACCUGCCCUUAGGUUCGGAAUAACUCCCCGAAAGGGGUGCUAAUACCGGAUAAUGUCUUCGGACCAAAGAUUUAUCGCCUUUGGAUGGGCCCGCGUUGGAUUAGCUAGUUGGUAGGGUAAAAGCCUACCAAGGCGACGAUCCAUAGCUGGUCUGAGAGGAUGAUCAGCCACACUGGGACUGAGACACGGCCCAGACUCCUACGGGAGGCAGCAGUGGGGAAUAUUGGACAAUGGGCGAAAGCCUGAUCCAGCAAUGCCGCGUGAGUGAUGAAGGCCUUAGGGUUGUAAAGCUCUUUUACCCGGGAUGAUAAUGACAGUACCGGGAGAAUAAGCUCCGGCUAACUCCGCG
This 433-nucleotide ribosomal RNA is filed under the name uncultured bacterium. RNAcentral describes it as "partial 16S ribosomal RNA". It matches the Rfam family "Bacterial small subunit ribosomal RNA", at positions 29 to 507 of the family's 1533-position model. The record is from RNAcentral.